GUAGGGAAUAUUGGGCAAUGGAUGCAAGUCUGACCCAGCCAUCCCGCGUGCCGGAAGAAGGCCCUCAGGGUUGUAAACGGCUUUUGACGGUGAAGAAUCGACAGGAUGCGUCCUGUUUUGACGGUAGCCGUUGAAUAAGCACCGGCUAACUCCGUGCCAGCAGCCGCGGUAAUACGGAGGGUGCGAGCGUUGUCCGGAUUUAUUGGGUUUAAAGGGUGCGUAGGCUGGAAGGUCAGUCAGCGGUGAAAAGCUGUCGCUUAACGAUAGUCUUGCCGCAGAUACUUCCUUUCUUGGAUGGGGAGGAGGCCACUGGAACGGAUGGUGUAGCGGUGAAAUGCAUAGAUAUCAUCCAGAACACCGAUUGCGAAGGCAGGUGGCUGUACCUUAAUCGACGCUGAUGCACGAAAGCAUGGGGAGCAAACAGGAUUAGAUACCCCUGUAGUUC
This 445-nucleotide ribosomal RNA is filed under the name uncultured bacterium. RNAcentral describes it as "bacterial SSU rRNA". It matches the Rfam family "Bacterial small subunit ribosomal RNA", at positions 354 to 796 of the family's 1533-position model. The record is from RNAcentral.